AUAGGGGAAAAAUCCCCCCCAAACUUAACUCCCAACCAAUGUGGGACUUUAGCAUUUUGCCAAACUUCAACUGGUAAAGCAAAUUUUCAGACCAGGAAAUUGAAGUAUUUUAUCUAUAUUUUCUGGACCAAAUAUGUACAGCUUUUGGGAUUCUUGUUUUUUGGCUUUAAAGAAAAAUGACUUACUAGCAAUGGGAUGAAAUAGGUCUGAAUAGAGUGAAUAGAUAUAGAAGAUUCAUAUACUCUACCUUAGCUAGUUUGGGUCUAAGGCAUUGUUGUUGUUUUUGUUGUGUUCUUUGUUUGGAGGGUUCCUUUUUCUUUUUGGGCCCCUUUUUUCUUUUGUUUUGAUGAUUGCUCUGUCUGGACCAGCUUACGCACACCUCGAUGAUUACACUUACACUUGGUACCUGGCUACUUGCUAACUCCCACUAGCAUACUGGGUAACUCUACCCACAAAGGCUUAGGCAGAUGAGCACAAAGCACCUAGUCUUUUUCGCCUAUGCUUGGAUUUGAACUUGAGAUAUAAUUGCUCUCUUCCCACUUCAUUGGCCUCGAGGCCACACCUUGGGAGACAGUAAAAGAAGACUUUCCUUUUCUUCAAAAAAAUAGAACUUUUAUUUACACUGUGUUUUUUGGGUUUCCUGUUGCAUGAACUCUUACCUUUGUAAAUAGGGAUUGUUGUUUCUCUAGCUCUUUAUUAUUACUGCUCUGAAUUCCUUUCGUUCACUCUGCACUUUAUCAAGCUUAACUUAUGUGAUCUCAUGUUAAUCAGUAGUAGAGUCCUUUUUUGGCUAGAAUAAAAGGCUAACCAGGCUGUUGGAUUUAUAUAAUAGUAGAAAUUAGAAAGAAAACAAACCUGGUUAUUUUCUCAUGUUUUAUUGCUGAAUUUUGAUGUUUCUAUAUUCUUGCUGAUUCUUGUGUUUAUCAAAUAUUAGCAAAGUGAAGCUUCCUAAUUCGUUUUCCUUGUCUUUUUCCUUUUCUCUUUUGCUCUUUUGCAGUCAGCCAAUGGAAUAGGAUGCCCCUCAACUGGGAUGAUGGUUAUAGCAUAUGAACUUCAGUGCCUUUCUACAGCAUCAGGUGCAUUAAAAAAUGAAGUGAACCGGGUUUGAUUUGGAGCGAAACUUGUGAAGCAGCUAGGAGUUGGACCGACUUGUAUAACUUUUCGUAUUCGGGAAUUUACCUUGGUAGAACGACUUGAUUAGUGGAGGAUGCUGUAAGACUUGAAAUAGGAUUUUGCUGUUCUGCUACGUACUGUUAUCUACUUCAGGGACCUUGUAAACAUUGGAGUUUAAAGUGGUUUGUCUUGUAUGUUGAAUGUUAUGAUCGGCUAAUGUGUAGGGUACCUACCUUUCAUAACUCCA
Molecule: non-coding RNA, 1360 nt
Organism: Nicotiana tabacum (common tobacco)
Lineage: Eukaryota; Viridiplantae; Streptophyta; Magnoliopsida; Solanales; Solanaceae
Source: RefSeq, a predicted model, not a curated record